RNAcentral lists this ribosomal RNA (256 nucleotides) under uncultured bacterium. RNAcentral describes it as "partial 16S ribosomal RNA". It matches the Rfam family "Bacterial small subunit ribosomal RNA", at positions 521 to 776 of the family's 1533-position model. The record is from RNAcentral.
UAACUCGUGAGUGGCAAGCGUUGUCCGGAAUUACUGGGCGUAAAGAGCACGUAGGCGGUUUGGUAAGCGGCGGGUGAAAUCCCAGGGCUCAACCCUGGAACUGCUCGCCGAACUGCCAGGCUAGAGUUCGGGAGAGGGCAGUGGAAUUCCUGGUGUAGCGGUGGAAUGCGUAUAUAUCAGGAGGAACACCCGUGGCGAAGGCUGCUGCCUGGAACGAUACUGACGCUGAGGUGCGAAAGCUAGGGGAGCGAACGGG